Molecule: ribosomal RNA, 497 nt
Filed under: uncultured bacterium
Lineage: Bacteria
Description: partial 16S ribosomal RNA
Rfam family: Bacterial small subunit ribosomal RNA
Source: RNAcentral
GAUGAACGCUGGCGGCGUGCCUAAUACAUGCAAGUCGAGCGAACAGACGAGGAGCUUGCUCCUCUGACGUUAGCGGCGGACGGGUGAGUAACACGUGGAUAACCUACUUAUAAGACUGGGAUAAUUUCGGGAAACCGGAGCUAAUACCGGAUAAUAUAUUGAACCGCAUGGUUCAAUAGUGAAAGACGGCUUUGCUGUCACUUAUAGAUGGAUCCGCGCCGCAUUAGCUAGUUGGUAAGGUAACGGCUUACCAAGGCGACGAUGCGUAGCCGACCUGAGAGGGUGAUCGGCCACACUGGAACUGAGACACGGUCCAGACUCCUACGGGAGGCAGCAGUAGGGAAUCUUCCGCAAUGGGCGAAAGCCUGACGGAGCAACGCCGCGUGAGUGAUGAAGGUCUUCGGAUCGUAAAACUCUGUUAUUAGGGAAGAACAAAUGUGUAAGUAACUAUGCACGUCUUGACGGUACCUAAUCAGAAAGCCCCGGCUAACUACGUG